UCUCAAACUACGGUUACUGUGAAGGCCCAGGUCUUACGGCGAAAGGGAAGCAUCAUAUAGGACCAGAUGGAGUUGGUGAAAUGAAAGGUAUUUAUCACCAGGAAGUUGUGAAUGUAUAUUGACAUUUAAAAGUCUAGACCCCGAAUGUAAGACGACCCCACGCAUUUCCAGGAAGAAAAAAAACCCAUCUUAUAUUCGGUUCAGUACGGUCGACUAGAAUUUAAAUCAAUCAAUGUGAACAUCUGUGUUCUCAAACAAUAAAGUGUGCAAAGUCGAUGGUUAUUUAUUUAGUGGUAGUUACCACAUGACGAAUCAUUUGCAACAUCUCAUUAUUAUUGAUCAUCAUUCCUAACUGGCAGAGCUGUGCGGUUUCCAUUAAAGACACUACAUCAAAAAGACGAAUUCAACUGAGUUAGGCUUGCCUUCACCUUUAUAAUACAGAUUUCGUUAUUAAUUUAGAUUCGAUUCCUAUUUGUUCGUAAAAAAAAUCGAAAAAAGUAAAACGGCAGGAAUCUUGGUAAGAACAAUUACAGCAGUAGGCCUAUUCUUUUAAUGAAUUGACUAGAAACAGCUGCAUUAGUUUGCGUCCGAGUUCACGUUGCGAAUAAACUUUUGUCAUAGGUUUGGUUUCAGAAAAGUAACUUAAUUAAUUAUUCACACUAAAACAAGGGUGUUCUCUAAAAGACUACUAACAAAUGGACCAUCGGUCGGAAUAUAUGGAGUGUAGGUCAAUCCUCACAUGUAUCGAGGAGGAGGAGGAGGAAGAGGAGGGUGAUGAUGAUGAUGAAGCCCAUGACAUGGAAGAGGAUGAUGGGGACAGAGAGGAGACCCAAAAAGGAGGUGUAAAGGAGACAGUGGACCAAAUGGGGGAAGAAGACGAAGAAGAAAGUGGCAGAGUGGAAGGAGGGGGAGAAGAAGAUGAGGAAGACUCUGACUCUCCCUGUCUGACGCCAAGACCCUGGCGACUGCCUCGUGACUUCGACGUCGUCUUCCAAGAGACGCGCUAUGUGGACAAUGUCCAGAGUGAGUCUGGGUCAGAAGACGGCUCCCUCUGUACAGCCGAACCACAGCCCACCGCCUCUCCCCCCGAACCCUCUCCUUCAUCAGAACACACCCCUUCUUCAGAAAGUACCUCUCCACCCGAACACGGUCCUUCAUCAGAACACGCCUCUCCACCCGAUCAGACCUCUUCAUCCCAACACAGCCCUCCAUCAGGACACACCCCUUCUUCAGAAAGUACCUCUCCACCCGAACACGGUCCUUCAUCGGAACACGCCUCUCCACCCGAUCAGACCUCUUCAUCACAACACAGCCCUCCAUUAGGCCACAGCUCUCCACCCGAACACACCUCUCCAUCGGGAUACACCAGUCCUUCAGAACACACCCCGCCUCCACCCACACACUCCUCUCCAUCCGAACACACCCCAUCAUCAGAAUACACCUCUGCAUCAGACCACCCCCCUUCAUCAGAACACACCCCCCCACCAGGACACAGCCUUUGGCCUCAACCGGGCAGACAGUGGAGCCAUGGACUCCCAAACAUGAAGGUCUACUCCUGGGCAGAGAGAGCGUGGCGGCGGUCAAGAGCAGAGCAGCCAAAGAAAGGCUCGAAGAGGAGGCGUUCAUCAGAUGAGGAUUUUCCUGGCUGGUUGCUGGAGCUCAUGUUUAGCAUUGAGGAGUCGACAAAACAUGUACUGUUCGUUGAAUAUGAACAUGCAAAGGCAUAA
Gadus morhua (Atlantic cod) is the source of this 1727-nucleotide long non-coding RNA. NCBI's taxonomy places the organism in Eukaryota, Metazoa, Chordata, Actinopteri, Gadiformes, Gadidae. The record is from Ensembl.